Molecule: ribosomal RNA, 589 nt
Filed under: Dujonia oleophila
Lineage: Eukaryota; Fungi; Ascomycota; Pichiomycetes; Serinales; Debaryomycetaceae
Description: LSU rRNA
Rfam family: Eukaryotic large subunit ribosomal RNA
Source: RNAcentral
GGAGGAAAAGAAACCAACAGGGAUUGCCUUAGUAACGGCGAGUGAAGCGGCAAAAGCUCAAAUUUGAAAUCUAGCACUUUCAGUGUUCGAGUUGUAAUUUGAAGAAGGUAACUUUGGAAUUGGCUCUUGUCUAUGUUCCUUGGAACAGGACGUCACAGAGGGUGAGAAUCCCGUGCGAUGAGAUGUCCAAUUCUAUGUAAAGUGCUUUCGAAGAGUCGAGUUGUUUGGGAAUGCAGCUCUAAGUGGGUGGUAAAUUCCAUCUAAAGCUAAAUAUUGGCGAGAGACCGAUAGCGAACAAGUACAGUGAUGGAAAGAUGAAAAGAACUUUGAAAAGAGAGUGAAAAAGUACGUGAAAUUGUUGAAAGGGAAGGGCUUGAGAUCAGACUUGGUAUUUUGUGUUCCUUAUCCUUCUUGGAUUAGGUUCCUCACAGCUUACCGGGCCAGCAUCGGUUUGGAUGGCAGGAUAAUGACAUUGGAAUGUAGCUUUGCUUCGGUGAAGUGUUAUAGACUUUGUUGAUACUGCCUAUCUAGACCGAGGACUGCGUCUUUGACUAGGAUGCUGGCGUAAUGAUCUUAAGCCGCCCGUCUU